CAGCCGGAGACUGGCAAACUUUGACUCCACGCCGCGAGAAGAAUCGGCCAGCCUGAGAAAGCGAAAAAAGGCAUUCUUCACCAUGGAAGUUCAAACCAACUACUGUGUGCACCAGGAUCCCCACGAUACCCAAGUGCAACAGAACCAGCCCCAGAGGGAUGCAGUCAAAACGAAGACAUCAUGCAAGGAAUGCUGCCAGAAUUGCUGCGACACGACCAUCAAUUUCUGCUCUAUGCUGGCCGAAUGCGGCUCCUGCUGCUGUGACUGUUUUGAGACUAUCAUUUCGCUCUUUUAGGAGCAUCGACAGAUGCGUGGUUGGGAGCACCCUCAGCGCCAGGCAAAUGGUGUGGCACAGCAACGGAACGACUGAAGAGAGGAAGGCACUGCAGAGGGUGGGGAAAGCUGCUCAGAAAAUCGUAGGGCGCUUUCUUCCCACCACCACCACAGACAUCUUCAUCAGCCGAUGCAAUUGGAGGACUCCGUGGCAAAAGAGACCGAUCCCACUCUCCCCCUGCACGAGUAAAACCUAAAGAAGCCAUAUGUAAUAAUCUGUCCAGAAAUGAUACUGCAAUCACGGUCAAAAUUCCCUCUCCCUGACUGAGGUUGCCAGAUACGCAGCCGAAUCCAGCUCGAUGGACUGGGCUACUCCAAGGAACUUCAAACUUCCACUGCCUCUUACUAGGGGUUGAGGUGCUGGGACCAUAAUAGCUGAAUAGACAAGCACUUUGUCAAUAACAAAUCUCUAACCAACACAUUUUACACAGAAUUUAGGCUAUUUUCAGGAAGAAGUACAUCAUACUUGCGUAUAAUAUCACAACAAACGACAAUCAUAUGGUUACUGUCAGUACUAUCAGAAAACAAAGACUAAAACCAAUGGUACCAAUGGUUAUACUGGUGGAAAUAAGUAGAGCAUGCUUCGCAGCCUAAUGUACAGCCAAAACUAAAGAGGAGACAUUUUACCAAGGAAUGCCUAUAUAGGCUACUGUUUCAAACAUUGCAGAUUGCCAUAUAACUUGGUAGAUGUAGUCCACAAUAUGCAAUCAUCAAUAAGGAAUGUUUGUAUCAUGUGAUUUGGCUGAUCCAUACGUUUCAUAUUGUCAUUAGCCCAAAUGUCGAUGUGUCAUUGAUAAGCAUUACACUAGGAGCGAAGCAUCAUCACACUAAGCAUUUGUUGCGCGGACAUAUUAGCUUUGUGAGACAAGAUCAUAGACUGUAUUCGACAAUAUAGUUUACAUACCAAACGUCCAUUUCCAUUUAUUACAAUUAAUAAGAAAUAAUAAUAAUAAUAAUAAAUUGGAUUUGUAAAAAACACUUUACAUUGAGUAAACAACCUCAAAGUGCUACAAGGUAUUAAAAAUAAAAAAAUAAAUAAAUAAAAAUAAAAACGAGAACAGCCAAAUAGCUAGAACUAGUAUGCAUAUAUCUAAAGCCUUUUUUAAAAUCAUCCACAGUCUGUGGUGCCCUCAGGUGGUCAGGGAGAGCGUUCCACAGACUGGGAGCGGCCGAGCUGAAAGCCCGGUUUCCCAUUGUUCGUAGCUUUCAAGAAAACGUAAAUGCCUGACUUACCAAUGAAAUUAGCAAGUUCUUCAUCUUCGUCAGUGUGCAAUUUCCAACAAGAAGUGAUGCACUUAAAUAGUCGCAGCUGUGGUCAAUCAACUGAUACAACACAUCGAGAACAACUUCAAAAAUGAAAGUGUAAAAAUAAUAAACUAAAAGGAAAAUUGUACGAAACACAUCAAAGCACAGUAUCAUAGGAAAAUAAAUGAAGCAAUAAAACAAAACAAAAAUAAAGCAAUAAAAGAAUUAA
Molecule: long non-coding RNA, 1807 nt
Organism: Nerophis lumbriciformis (worm pipefish)
Lineage: Eukaryota; Metazoa; Chordata; Actinopteri; Syngnathiformes; Syngnathidae
Source: RefSeq, a predicted model, not a curated record